Molecule: ribosomal RNA, 465 nt
Filed under: uncultured Klebsiella sp.
Lineage: Bacteria; Pseudomonadati; Pseudomonadota; Gammaproteobacteria; Enterobacterales; Enterobacteriaceae
Description: bacterial SSU rRNA
Rfam family: Bacterial small subunit ribosomal RNA
Source: RNAcentral
CCUACGGGGGGCUGCAGUAGGGAAUAUUGCACAAUGGGCGCAAGCCUGAUGCAGCCAUGCCGCGUGUGUGAAGAAGGCCUUCGGGUUGUAAAGCACUUUCAGCGGGGAGGAAGGCGUUAAGGUUAAUAACCUUGUCGAUUGACGUUACCCGCAGAAGAAGCACCGGCUAACUCCGUGCCAGCAGCCGCGGUAAUACGGAGGGUGCAAGCGUUAAUCGGAAUUACUGGGCGUAAAGCGCACGCAGGCGGUCUGUCAAGUCGGAUGUGAAAUCCCCGGGCUCAACCUGGGAACGGCAUUCGAAACUUGCAGGCUAGAGUCUUGUAGAGGGGGGUAGAAUUCCAGGUGUAGCGGUGAAAUGCGUAGAGAUCUGGAGGAAUACCGGUGGCGAAGGCGGCCCCCUGGACAAAGACUGACGCUCAGGUGCGAAAGCGUGGGGAGCAAACAGGAUUAGAUACCCGGGUAGUC